AUACGGAGGGGGCUAGCGUUGUUCGGAAUUACUGGGCGUAAAGCGCGUGUAGGCGGAUCGUUAAGUCAGGGGUGAAAGCCCGGAGCUCAACUCCGGAAUUGCCCUUGAUACUGGCGAUCUAGAGGCCGGGAGAGGUGAGCGGAAUUCCCAGUGUAGAGGUGAAAUUCGUAGAUAUUGGGAGGAACACCAGUGGCGAAGGCGGCUCACUGGCCCGGUUCUGACGCUGAGACGCGAAAGCGUGGGGAGCAAACAGGAUUAGAAACCCUAGUAGUCC
Molecule: ribosomal RNA, 274 nt
Filed under: uncultured bacterium
Lineage: Bacteria
Description: partial 16S ribosomal RNA
Rfam family: Bacterial small subunit ribosomal RNA
Source: RNAcentral